Long non-coding RNA from Oncorhynchus tshawytscha (Chinook salmon), 478 nucleotides. NCBI's taxonomy places the organism in Eukaryota, Metazoa, Chordata, Actinopteri, Salmoniformes, Salmonidae. The record is from Ensembl.
CUGUCUCUCUCUCUCUCUCUCGCUGUCUCUCUCUCUCUCUCUCGCGCGGUCUCUCUCUCUCUCUCGCGGUCUCUCUCUCGCGGUCUCUCUCUCUCUCUCUCUCGCUGUCUCUCUCUCUCUCUCUCGCAGUCUCUCUCUCUCUCUCUCGCUGUCUCUCUCUCUCUCUCUCGCUGUCUCUCUCUCUCUCUCUCGCUGUCUCUCUCUCUCUCUCUCGGUCUCUCUCUCUCUCUCUCGCGGUCUCUCUCUCUCGCGGUCUCUCUUUCUCUCUCUCUCUCGGUCUCUCUCUCUCUCUCGCAGUCUUUCUCUCUCUCUCGCAGUCUCUCUCUCUCUCUCGCAGUCUCUCUCUCUCGCAGUCUCUCUCUCUCUCUCUUGCAGUCUCUCUCUCUCUCUCUCGCAGUCUCUCUCCCUCUCUCUUGCAGUCUCUCUCUCUCGCAGUCUUGCUCUCUCUCUCUUGCAGUCUCUCUCUCUCUUGCAGUCU